Molecule: long non-coding RNA, 529 nt
Organism: Lontra canadensis (Northern American river otter)
Lineage: Eukaryota; Metazoa; Chordata; Mammalia; Carnivora; Mustelidae
Exons: 3
Source: RefSeq, a predicted model, not a curated record
CCAGUAACUGUGGAGGACAACAUGGACAGAUUUCAAGAAAGUAGUGUGGAUUCUCUCUGCCAGAGGCACAGACAUACCACAUUUCAUGUUCCAUCUCCAGGACUUCACAGACCUGAAGUCCAUCCUUCGUGGCCCAGGGAAAGAAGAAAGCCCAAGAUGAGACCCUGGAGAGCCUAUUUUUGGUGACGAGGUUGAAAUGGUUUAGUUGGAAGUUUGGGCAGUUGACUCCAUUGUAAUUAACCCCACCAAGCCACUCAGCAUGAACUGCAAUGAGUCAGUUUGCUAAGAACAGAAUUCUGAUUUUUACACGGAGACCAGGAACACGGUGAGUUCUCAAUGACUACACGUUGGAUUUCUCAAAUGGCCCUGAUUUUCGGGAUCAUGGGUUUAGAGUACUUCUGUUCACAUUUUCUUCAAGAAAUUAUAGUGAUCAUUGUUAAGGUUUUAUAAAUAAGCGUUUUCGGAAAUCUGUAAGUGGAUAUUCUCAAAUGCUGAAGGCAUAUCCAGCAUUUUACUAGCCUGCCAUUCA